GAUGUCUCUCGAGUAUUACUGUAUAUACGAUUCUCUAUCGCGUGUGUGUUGUGCGUAUUACACGGGAGAAGAGUCACCAGACUCUACCUGAUGCAGUGUGUGUGUGUGUGUUGGGGAAGUGUUCGAUUCCCUCGAGGCUUUCUCGACCCUUUUUGCGAUAAGGCCGGGAUGUCGCAGUUUGGAGCUUCUUUUUUGCGUGGAAUAAGAAGCAGCUUUUCUUAAGUACGCCGGGAAUGCGGGAGACUAAACUUGUACAAUCAAAUUUUUUUCAAGUUUCGAAAACUGAAAUUUAAAUUUUAUAAGACCAUUUUCUAUGUAAAUAAGCUGAAAAGAACACGAAACGAACAAACGCUUGCAAGUGUUCGCAAAAGCACGAAUCGUUACAUGUAGUCAACUAAAAAUGAAUUUUUAACUUAAAAAAAGUGAAUGUAUUUAUUAUCGGCGGGUAAAAUAAAGAAAUAGCAGUGAUUUCUUCGUUAUAAAUAUAUGUACACCAUUAAACGCUCCAUGAUUCACCAGUAGAUGGCAGUGCCUGUCAGAAAACUCAUCAAGUUUACCUGCAGAGUAUUCGCAGAAUUGCAGAUCACAGCGCGUCGACAAAGUGUGUCUAAAAAGUUUGUUAUUACACGCAAACUUUUUGUGCAAAUUUUUUAAUUCUAAGAAAGAGACCAUGGCAGGAAAUGAGUUUCUGUACAUAGCAAGUGGAUUUCAUGAAGACUGUUUGCAGCUCUUGGAAUUAUUUAAAAGAUAUGAGAGUUAUACAUUUGACUCAUUUUGCAAAGCUUGGAAAGAGAUGAAAUUUUCAUUAGUUUUUCUAUGUCGCAGAACUUAUGCUGAAAUGCUAGAAUUUUGUGAAGAAGCACUCAACAUAGCUAAACAAAUUAUGCUUUCGUCUUUAGAGUUUAUUGACCAGAUUGGUGGACUUUAUCUCCUCUACGGUCUGUUUUAUAAAAUUCCAAUUGAAAACGUGAAGAUCAGAGUAACAAUGAAGGAAUGGCGAACUAUUUUACAGUUUCAUGAACAAAUAAAACAAGAAGAAUUUUAUGAUACAAGUUACAUUUUUGUUAAAUUGGUCAAAGACAAUGCUUUUUGUCAUUGUUUGUUUACAAGUGAAUAUGGUAUUGAGAAAAGUUUCCAACCACAUCAAGAAGUAAUCGAUAAUCCAUAUUCGGUUUUGCCACAGAUAGUUCAGCAGAUUGAAGAUGGAGAACUUUCUAAACUUCAAAGACUAAGUAAACUAUACCAUCAACAAAAGGCAAAACUAUUAAAUAACUCUUCGAGUGGUAAAUUGCAGUUGUUUGAUAAAAAUUUUGUUGAUGAGAUUCUAAUUGAUGUAGAACAUGUAGAAGAAAAAAGACAAUCAUUCAUUGGCUUGAGGAAAAAGAGAAGGGAUAUAAAUUUAACUAACAAAGAGAAGAAAUUAAAAUUGCAUAAUGAAGAUAAAAUCAGACCCAAGUUGGGUCAUGCAUUCGAUACAGACUCAUCAGACGAUGAAAAUAUGCAAAUGAAAAUGACCUUAGAAGAAGAAUAUUCAUAUAGUCUUCCUCAAACUUUUGAUAGAGAUGAAGAUAAUGAAAUGAAUGAUGGUGACAACAGUGAUAAUGAUCAUUCCAGAAUGGAAGAUUCUUCUGAAAAAUCUUACGAGGGAGAGAUGUCAUGAUAACACUUAUGUUAUUCCAUAAUGGAACUGUAAUCAUCAACUGAUUACUUCCAAAGUAAGAUUACAAUCUUAACGAACUUGUUGUUUCCAUGGACAUCAUGGGCUAAUAUCUCUACACGGGAUCCAUAUUGAUAUAUUCUUCCAUUAGGGUGGAGCAAAGCAGAGGCCGAACCAGAUCCACUCAGCGAAAGUACAAUGUUAUUCUACAUCAAAAACAACCAAUCUCAAACUCACGACUUACUUUUGAAUCGGCAGUGGAGUUCCUGGUCCUCCUGCGCCGAGACUUGCGCCCCUUGUUACCAGUCCUGGCCGUUGAAGAUGUUGUCGGAUCGCUGGAACCACCGGCGUUGCGUUCCAGAGGUUUGGCGACUUCCUUGGCAGGUCGCGACUCGACGCGACGCUCUUCCGAAAUCAUCCUUAUUGUGCACCAGGUGUAUCCGGAGUCCAGGAGACGACGAGAAAAGAUGCUUCUUUGCGCUCGCGAGAAAUAGUGACAAACGAAUUGCUGAUUGACGACUCGUUGCUGUGGCGAUCUACGCGAUAUUGUCACCGAGCGUCUAAGCAAACAAAAGAAAUAUGCAUCGAGAUAUAAUUAUAGAUACGCCUGCGAUGAGCGUUUAUUUUUCGGGGGCUUCGAUUCGAACGUUGAAAGGGAUUCUUCGCCAGCUUAUUUAUCGUUCCUUUGAUUCAGUUCAAUGACUUUUGGGGAAAAAACAUAGUUACCUUGUUGUCCUUUUUUUAAGACCGACGUCGAGGCGCAUAUUUAAAGGAUCAAACUUGUAUUCGAAAUUACCAACUUGUUUGAUUUCAAUGUGUAUUGGAUCGAAAUUUUUGUAAUAAAAUUUGUGAAAUUUAAAAAUAAGAUAAAAAAAAUUGCGUGUAAUGUGCCUUUUAUAAUAAAAUACAAACUUGAUCUCAUAAGGCUAAAUGGAUUUUGCAACUACAAGAUUUUGUAUGCCUCUCUUAUUCCAUUACGUUUUGAUAAGAAUUUUUAUCUAAAUAGGAAAUGCAGCGAAUGCGAAGUAUACGACGCGAAUCAUCGGAAACUCGCAAUUCUCGUCUAAUGUAAUCAAUAAUUGUCGACGUAUAAUGAAGUUGUGGAUUGACUGUCUUGCGAGCCUCUUGAAGAUUGUAUUCGUAAUUUUACUUUAUCGAGGUAAACAAGUUUUGUAGUAACGUAAUUUUUUUUCCAAUGCAAUUGUAUUUUUUUGUUUAGAAUAUGCGCUUUAUAUUCUGUAUAAUUUUUUAAAAUGAAAAAUAUUUUUAUUUAUUUAACUUAAAAGGAUGUAGAAAGUACUCUACGAUACUUACGAAACGAUUGAACCAAAUAUUCUAAUAUCGUAUUUUUUUAAAGCAAUUUUUUCUGUGUUAUUGCGGAAUAUAAACAUACCCUGAUCAAUUGAACAAGAAAGUAUGCAUAAAUCAAAUUCAUCUCAUUUGGUUUGUUACUAUACACACUACGUAUAUACUACUGAGACGUGCACUAAGUUUAUCGGUCUGUUUUCUGUAAGAUGACCAGGUCACUGUGUCGUUCAAUUGUUGGCAGAGCUAAGUGACUUUUUGUUCGCUACUUUAAACUCUGGAGAAAGACUCGUAUUAGACGCCAUGAGGUUUAUUAUUGGCAGUCAAACGAAUCACGAGAUUCCAUUCAGAGAAUAUUAUUGACCAUGUAAGUCGUUCACUUUGCCGCUAACGCAUCAGAAUGUUUUUGUUCGUUUUUCAGGCUCUUGACAUUCUUGAAUAAAGAGAUUACGUAAAUUUAA
RNA transcript from Nasonia vitripennis (jewel wasp), 3423 nucleotides. It is a transcript of the gene named snRNA-activating protein complex subunit 1, with no coding region annotated. The record is from RefSeq and is a predicted model, not a curated record. Lineage: Eukaryota; Metazoa; Arthropoda; Insecta; Hymenoptera; Pteromalidae. The transcript has 9 exons.